RNAcentral lists this ribosomal RNA (93 nucleotides) under uncultured Sclerotiniaceae. Its description in RNAcentral is "5.8S ribosomal RNA". Lineage: Eukaryota; Fungi; Ascomycota; Leotiomycetes; Helotiales; Sclerotiniaceae. The record is from RNAcentral.
GUUGCUUUGGCGAGCUGCCUUCGGGCCUUGUAUGCUCGCCAGAGAAUACCAAAACUCUUUUUAUUAAUGUCGUCUGAGUACUAUAUAAUAGUU